UCUUUCCCCCUCCCUUUCCUCCCUCUCCCCGCAGCCGGGACUGGAGUCUCCUCAGCGAAACUCCGGUGCUUUCGCAGCCGCAGUGAGUACAGAGAAGGGACCCGCGUCUUGCCGGGGGAUGUUUCUAACGCAUCUUUGCGGCCGCUGCCGGGCGGCGGGGCUCCCGCUGCUGCGCCGGGCUCUCCUCCCCCAGCCCCGCGCCCAGGGAUGCAGAAGCAUCUUCUCCCACCGCAGCUCACGUAGAAGGGAAAACCCGGCAGAUAAAUCACUAUUUGCAUUUAUGUCUGACUCAGAAGAUCAGCCUAGUCUCAGAGUUCAAUCUGUACUCACACCCCUUCUUUCCCUUGAUGCUUGUCCUCCUGCCUGGCUCCUGCCUUCUCUUUCUCCUCUCUGAUGUUUUAAGUCAUGCAGAACUGCUUCCACAAUUGAUUUCAGCCCAUGAAGUCCCAGGAGAAUUAUCACUGGUCAGCAGUAGUUGUCUCCUUGGACUCUAUUGUCCUCAUCUCCUCCUUCCUCUCACUUUCUGCUCCCUGGUUGCAGGCCUCCUCCCAGACACUUUCAUCUUUGUGACCCAUCCUCCUUUGCUCAGCAGGAGAAAGGGAGGUGGUGCACACAGGAGAGGCACCCAGAUGUCACAGGAAGGGAGGAGCACUCGUGGUCCCCCUGCCUUGGGCACGGAUUGUACCCGGCUGCCCCGCAAAAGCCCCCGAACGUGGAGCGGGCUCUGUCAGCUCGGGCUGGCCUUUGGAAAACUCAGUAAAAUGACAAAA
Long non-coding RNA from Pyrgilauda ruficollis (rufous-necked snowfinch), 770 nucleotides. RefSeq lists it as uncharacterized. The transcript is spliced from 3 exons. The record is from RefSeq and is a predicted model, not a curated record. Lineage: Eukaryota; Metazoa; Chordata; Aves; Passeriformes; Passeridae.